CUCUCACUAUGCGGCUGGCACUAGGAUCAGCGAUGUAUCUUACACGAGGCAAACAAGGCAUUUGCCUUGGGCGGCACUUUGCAGGGGGCGGCAAAAUAAGCCAUCCCCAGAUGCCCAGGUGGAUUCCUUGUUUGCCUCGUGUCCUGGGGGGCUCAAGAGCUGGCGGGCUGGCCACUUGUGAGCCCCCCCCAAGAGGGCGGCAGCUUCUAUUGCGGCAGGC
This is a non-coding RNA of Pelobates cultripes (western spadefoot toad), 220 nucleotides long. NCBI's taxonomy places the organism in Eukaryota, Metazoa, Chordata, Amphibia, Anura, Pelobatidae. The record is from the annotation of a GenBank genome assembly.